This is a long non-coding RNA of Amphiprion ocellaris (clown anemonefish), 874 nucleotides long. RefSeq lists it as uncharacterized. The transcript is spliced from 3 exons. The record is from RefSeq and is a predicted model, not a curated record. Lineage: Eukaryota; Metazoa; Chordata; Actinopteri; Pomacentridae.
CUAAGCUAGUGGGGGCAAAGUUUCAGUGCAUUCCGUUGAUGUAGACGGCGUGGAAACGGAAACAACAAGUAUGCUGGCUCACUGUGCUGCAUACAGUUACACACUGCGUCAUACGAUUGAGACAAGGAAACUUGGAGUGACUUUUCAUAGGUUUCCCAGAGACUAUGGGUUGAAGAGGAAUUGGAAGUUUGUCGGCUUAGACCUGGUGUCAUUCCAUCAGUGUUAAACUUCCCGGCUCAUCUUGGAAGAGUACGUGCCAGAAAGACCACGACCAAGCAGCCUUGAGAUCUUAGACAGUGUCUCCCUCAGGUCCCUCUCUAUCUCCCCACACAUCCACCAACCACUGGAACACAUCUCCAAAGUUCUGCUGGGCCAGCUCAGCUUCCCCUCAGAAGAAGUUCCACCACCUGCCAGAUGAAGGAGCCUUUUGAGAGGCAGCUGGCAUUGUGAUUGGACUGUACUUUGGUCUGUUCCAAUCCAGCUUCAGCUCCAGAGACGGCAGGCGGGACGAGUCAACGGAGGCCGGGUGGACGAAGGCAUGCAGCUGAGUACAAUCCAGAAAACAACAGAGGAGUGCAGGGCCAGAACAAACAGAGUAGCAUCGUAUGUCUCUUAGAAAACAUCAUAGUAGAGCCUUUGGUAUGAAAAAAUGGCAUAAUAUACAUCGUAUGUUGUACAAAUAACAAGUCAAAGGAAAGAGACAUACAUUGUAGAAUUGUAGUAAUUGUGGGCUGACUGAUUUACUGAUUAUCAGUAUUUUUUACUGAUUUACGGUAAUAAAUACAUUUAAAAUGGUGCUACUUUGGCUCUGAACCUUUAUCUACCUGUGUCUGCUCUGUCUUCUGGAGUGAUUUGAUUGGUUAUACGUCACAAA